This 1385-nucleotide long non-coding RNA is filed under the name Homo sapiens (human). RNAcentral's name for it is "HSALNT0121468". The record is from RNAcentral. Lineage: Eukaryota; Metazoa; Chordata; Mammalia; Primates; Hominidae.
AGAGGCACAGGCACAGCACACGGACACAACAUUGACUCUGGGGAGUUUCUUUCAGGGACAUCGAGCGAGGCAGGUGUUCCACCCCACUUUCUUGUUUGAGGGGAGAAGGAAACCAAAGCCAGUAGAAAUGGAAUUUAUGGCCUCCGUGCUCUCAGAGGGAUAUGAAGUGGCCUUGUUGAUGGAUUGGAUGACUGCUCGAGGCAGGAGGUCUGGCUUUCCCUCCAUGAACUAGGAGCGGCCUCAGGAAUCACAUGAACAUGUUAGAUGUGCACUUUUCGAGGCCAUGGCUGGAUCUUAGAUUCAUUCUGUGACUUUACCUGAGGCUCAGUCCUGACAGCCAAUGGACUCCAUCAAUGAUUGAUUAAAGCAUAAUGUUCCAUGACUAUCAAGACAGCAGCUCGAGAGCAUCUGUAGCAAAUGAAAACAACUGUUUUUGGCAGAAAUUGUCCUGUAUCCAAAUGGACAAAGCUGAAUAACUGUAUGUGGAUGAUUAUAUCAGUUCUGCUGUGUGGAGCCAGGAGCCACCGAAUUGUGGAGGUUCAUGUGGAUGGAAUGCGCACCUGACGUACUAACUUGAUCCUGACAUUCCAAUAUAAUCCCCUAUUCUCUAAAGGGAAAAACUAGUGUAUUUGUUAGAGACGUAAUGGAACUGUAGAGAGUACAUUCAAUCAGCUACGUAAACUGUGAAACAAAUGUCAGGUUUUCCUGGGUUCUGCCAUUGUGGUCUGUAAAAGAAGAAGUCUGAAUGGCAGGGACUGCAAUGGAAAGGAUGCACACGUAUUAGACAAAAAACUCUUAGGAGGGGAAAACUAUGAAAUGGUUCUUAGUACUGGUAGGUGGGGAUUUGGAACAGGGCCAUGUGUGUUCAUGCGUGUCCAUAUGUGUCUAUUUCAAAGAUGGCACGAUGGAAUAUAAAAUAAGGAUUGUGUGUGUCUUGUCAUGGAGACAACCACUGUGGAGAGACAAGCAGAACCAUCCAGUGGGUGACCCUGGGUUCCUGGGGAUGAGCGGGUUGGGUCCACUGUCUUCCUGUCCCCCAGCACGGGGUGCUGCAUGGCAGUUCAACCUACCACAGGGUCCCCUGCUGCAAUGGCCCUGGGCAGCUAGUGUUUCCAGCUGAGAUACAACUUCUCUGAGCAGUUGCUGUUCCAGCUUAGACUGUUUCUGCCCCACUUUCAGGGUUGAUGUCAUGAGCCCAAUGCAAGGGGGCGCUGCAGAGGGGAGCACGACAUUGACUAUUACCAUCAUCUCCUAACUGGCUUGCCGGCUGUGUAUUUAAAGAUGUUUUUGUGUGUGCGUUGAAGACAGACUGGAAGGCAACCACCUAUCUAGGGAUUUAUACACAGGAUAAGUGUGCUAAUAAUUGUGUGCCACUGCUAUUUGAU